Molecule: small nuclear RNA, 102 nt
Filed under: Trichobilharzia regenti
Lineage: Eukaryota; Metazoa; Platyhelminthes; Trematoda; Strigeidida; Schistosomatidae
Description: U2 spliceosomal RNA
Rfam family: U2 spliceosomal RNA
About the family: U2 is a small nuclear RNA (snRNA) component of the spliceosome (involved in pre-mRNA splicing). Complementary binding between U2 snRNA (in an area lying towards the 5' end but 3' to hairpin I) and the branchpoint sequence (BPS) of the intron results the bulging out of an unpaired adenosine, on the BPS, which initiates a nucleophilic attack at the intronic 5' splice site, thus starting the first of two transesterification reactions that mediate splicing.
Source: Rfam by way of RNAcentral
AACGCUUCUCGGCUCUCUGAGCUAAGAUCAUGUGUAGUAUCUGUUCUUUGCAGUGUAAUAAUAAUAAUAAUAAUCUACUUUAUUCCGAAAACAGUACUAAUA